RNAcentral lists this ribosomal RNA (253 nucleotides) under uncultured bacterium. Its description in RNAcentral is "partial 16S ribosomal RNA". It matches the Rfam family "Bacterial small subunit ribosomal RNA", at positions 524 to 776 of the family's 1533-position model. The record is from RNAcentral.
UACGGAGGGGACUAGCGUUGUUCGGAAUUACUGGGCGUAAAGCGCACGUAGGCGGAUUUGUAAGUCAGGGGUGAAAUCCCGGGGCUCAACCUCGGAACUGCCUUUGAUACUGCAAAUCUCGAGUCCGGAAGAGGUGAGUGGAACUCCUAGUGUAGAGGUGAAAUUCGUAGAUAUUAGGAAGAACACCAGUGGCGAAGGCGGCUCACUGGUCCGGUACUGACGCUGAGGUGCGAAAGCGUGGGGAGCAAACAGG